GAUGAAGAACGCAGCGAAAUGCGAUAAGUAAUGUGAAUUGCAGAAUUCAGUGAAUCAUCGAAUCUUUGAACGCAUCUUGCGCUCCUUGGUAUUCCUUGGAGCAUGCCUGUUUGAGUAUCAUGAGCAAAUCUCAAAGUCAAUUCCUUUUGUUAAUUCAAUUGGUUUUGCUUUGGACUUGGAGGUCUUGCAGAUUUCACAGUCUGCUCCUCUUAAAUGCAUUAGCUGGAUCUCAGUAAUUAUGCUUGGUUCCACUCGGCGUGAUAAGUAUCACUCGCUGAGGACACUGUUAAAAAAGGUGGCCAGGAAAAUACUGAUUGAACCGCUUCUAACGGUCUAUUAAGUUAGACAAUUACCCUUAAGUUUGAUCUCAAAUCAGGUAGGACUACCCGCUGAACUUAAGCAUAUCAAUAAGCGGAGGA
This 419-nucleotide unclassified non-coding RNA is filed under the name soil metagenome. Its description in RNAcentral is "partial contains 5.8S ribosomal RNA, internal transcribed spacer 2, and large subunit ribosomal RNA". The stretch from base 1 to 120 matches the Rfam family "5.8S ribosomal RNA", at positions 35 to 154 of the family's 154-position model. The record is from RNAcentral.